RNAcentral lists this ribosomal RNA (293 nucleotides) under uncultured eukaryote. RNAcentral describes it as "partial 18S ribosomal RNA". It matches the Rfam family "Eukaryotic small subunit ribosomal RNA", at positions 6 to 306 of the family's 1831-position model. The record is from RNAcentral.
GGUUGAUCCUGCCAGUAGUCAUACGCUUGUCUCAAAGAUUAAGCCAUGCAUGUCUAAGUAUAAGCACUUAUACCGUGAAACUGCGAAUGGCUCAUUAUAUCAGUUAUAGUUUACUUGAUAGUCCCUACUACUUGGAUAACCGUAGUAAUUCUAGAGCUAAUACAUGCACGAAGUCCGGACUGCGAGUAGCGGAACGGAUGCAUUUGUUAGAUACAACCAGCCCUUCGGGUCCCUGGUGAGUCAUAGCAACUGAGCGAACCGCAUGCGCAAGCGGCGGUGGUUCAUUCAAGUUU